Oncorhynchus tshawytscha (Chinook salmon) is the source of this 886-nucleotide long non-coding RNA. The record is from Ensembl. Lineage: Eukaryota; Metazoa; Chordata; Actinopteri; Salmoniformes; Salmonidae.
AGGGGGUACCGGUACAGAGUCAAUGUGGAGGCUAUAUACAGGGGGUACCGGUACAGAGUCAAUGUGGAGGCUAUAUACAGGGGGUACCGGUACAGAGUCAAUGUGGAGGCUAUAUACAGGGGUACCAGUACAGAGUCAAUGUGGAGGCUAUAUACAGGGUGUUACGGUACAGAGUCAAUGUGGAGGCUAUAUACAGGGGUACCGGUACAGAGUCUAUGUGGAGGCUAUAUACAGGGUGUUACGGUACAGAGUCAAUGUGGAGGCUAUAUACAGGGGUACCGGUACAGAGUCUAUGUGGAGGCUAUAUACAGGGUGUUACGGUACAGAGUCAAUGUGGAGGCUAUAUACAGGGGGUACCGGUACAGAGUCAAUGUGGAGGCUAUAUACAGGGUGUUACGGUACAGAGUCAAUGUGGAGACUAUAUACAGGGUGUUACGGUACAGAGUCAAUGUGGAGGCUAUAUACAGGGGGUACUGGUACAGAGUCAAUGUGGAGGCUAUAUACAGGGGGUACUGGUACAGAGUCAGUGUGGAGGCUAUAUACAGGGGUACCGGUACAGAGUCAAUGUGGAGGCUAUAUACAGGGGGUACCGGUACAGAGUCAGUGUGGAGGCUAUAUACAGGGGUACCGGUACAGAGUCAAUGUGGAGGCUAUAUACAGGGGUACCGGUACAGAGUCAAUGUGGAGGCUAUAUACAGGGGUACCGGUACAGAGUCAAUGUGGAGGCUAUAUACAGGGUAUUACGGUACAGAGUCAAUGUGGAGGCUAUAUACAGGGGGUACCGGUACAGAGUCAAUGUGGAGGCUAUAUACAGGGGGUACCAGUACAGAGUCAAUGUGGAGGCUAUAUACAGGGUAUUACGGUACAGAGUCAAUGUGGAGGCUAU